GAUGAAGAACGUAGCAAAAUGCGAUACUUGGUGUGAAUUGCAGAAUCCCGUGAACCAUCGAGUUUUUGAACGCAAGUUGCGCCCGAAGCCUUUUGGCCGAGGGCACGUCUGCCUGGGCGUCACGCAUCGUGUCGCUCCCCACAAAUUCUCCGUCAGGGGAGCUUGUGUUUCGGGGGCGGAUACUGGUCUCCCGUGCUCAUGGCGCGGUUGGCCGAAAUAGGAGUCCCUUCGAUGGACGCACGAACUAGUGGUGGUCGUAAAAACCCUCGUCUUUUGUUUCGUGCCGUUAGUCGCGAGGGAAGCUCUUCAAAAACCCCAACGCGUCGUCUCUUGACGGCGCUUCGACCGCGACCCCAGGUCAGGCGGGACUACCCGCUGAGUUUAAGCAUAUCAAUAAGCGGAGGA
RNAcentral lists this unclassified non-coding RNA (405 nucleotides) under soil metagenome. Its description in RNAcentral is "partial contains 5.8S ribosomal RNA, internal transcribed spacer 2, and large subunit ribosomal RNA". The stretch from base 1 to 122 matches the Rfam family "5.8S ribosomal RNA", at positions 35 to 154 of the family's 154-position model. The record is from RNAcentral.